GGAAACUUGAGAAUCACAGAAAAAGGUCUAAAGCUAGAAGGAGACUCAGAAUUCUUGCAACCUCUCUACGCCAAAGAAAUCCAGUCCCGACCAGGUAAUGCCCUUUACUUCAAAUCUGCCAGAAAUGUUACAGUGAACAUUCUCAAUGACCAGAGUAAAGUGCUAACUCAGCUGAUAACAGGUCCAAAAGCCAUAGUAGCUUACGGCAAAAAGUUUGAAGUAAAGACAGUUUCUGGAAAAUUGCUCUUCUCUGCAGAUAACAAUGAAGUGGUAGUAGGAGCUGAGAGAUUAAGAG
Long non-coding RNA from Diceros bicornis minor, 295 nucleotides. RefSeq lists it as uncharacterized. NCBI's taxonomy places the organism in Eukaryota, Metazoa, Chordata, Mammalia, Perissodactyla, Rhinocerotidae. The transcript is spliced from 3 exons. The record is from RefSeq and is a predicted model, not a curated record.